This 73-nucleotide transfer RNA is filed under the name Stegodyphus mimosarum. It matches the Rfam family "tRNA". Rfam says of the family: Transfer RNA (tRNA) molecules are approximately 80 nucleotides in length. Their secondary structure includes four short double-helical elements and three loops (D, anti-codon, and T loops). The record is from Rfam by way of RNAcentral. Lineage: Eukaryota; Metazoa; Arthropoda; Arachnida; Araneae; Eresidae.
GCCUUCAUGGUGUAGUGGUCAGCGCACUCGAGCCGUAUUUGAGAGGUCCGUGGUUCGAAUCCCGGCGAGGGUU